This 509-nucleotide ribosomal RNA is filed under the name uncultured bacterium. RNAcentral's name for it is "partial 16S ribosomal RNA". The record is from RNAcentral.
GGAGUUAGCCGGUGCUUCUUCUGCGAGUAACGUCACAGAUGUAAGGUAUUAACUUACACCCUUUCCUCCUCGCUGAAAGUGCUUUACAACCCGAAGGCCUUCUUCACACACGCGGCAUGGCUGCAUCAGGGUUUCCCCCAUUGUGCAAUAUUCCCCACUGCUGCCUCCCGUAGGAGUCUGGGCCGUGUCUCAGUCCCAGUGUGGCUGAUCAUCCUCUCAGACCAGCUAGGGAUCGUCGCCUAGGUGAGCCUUUACCUCACCUACUAGCUAAUCCCACCUGGGCUUAUCCAUCAGCGCAAGGCCCGAAGGUCCCCUGCUUUCCCCCGUAGGGCGUAUGCGGUAUUAGCAGUCGUUUCCAACUGUUAUCCCCCACAAAUGGGCAAAUUCCCAGGCAUUACUCACCCGUCCGCCGCUCGUCAUCUUCAAAAGCAAGCUUUUGAAAUGUUACCGCUCGACUUGCAUGUGUUAGGCCUGCCGCCAGCGUUCAAUCUGAACCAGAUCAACUCUGA